GAUCCUGGCUCAGAAUGAACGUUGGCGGCGUGGAUUAGGCAUGCAAGUCGAACGCGAAAGGGGGCAACUCCAAGUAGCGUGGCGAAAGGGGUAGUAAUGUAUGGGUAACCUACCCUCGGGUCUGGGAUAUACGGUGGAAACGCCGGGCAAUACUGGACGUCGUCAUUGAUCGGCAUCGGUUAAUGAUGAAAGGUUACGCCCGAGGAGGGACUCAUAUCCUAUCAGCUAGUUGGUGAGGUAACGGCUCACCAAGGCGACGACGGGUAGGGGGUGUGAGAGCACGACCCCCACCACUGGCACUGAGAACUGGCCAGACUCCUACGGGAGGCUGCAGUCGAGAAUCUUCGGCAAUGGGCGAAAGCCUGACCGAGCGACGCCGCGUGGAGGAAGAAGGCCUUCGGGUUGUAAACUCCUGUCCGGGGGAACAAAACAAUGAGUGAACCCAGAGAAGCACGGGCUAAGUUCGUGCCAGCAGCCGCGGUAAGACGAACCGUGCAAACGUUAUUCGGAAUCAUUGGGCUUAAAGGGCGCGUAGGCGGCGUUGUAAGUUGGAGGUGAAAUCCCAUCGGCUCAACCGUGGAAUUGCCCCCAAUACUGCAAUGCUCGAGGGAGGUAGGGGCGAGUGGAACUUCCAGUGGAGCGGUGAAAUGUGUUGAGAUUGGAAGGAACGCCGGUGGCGAAAGCGACUCGCUGGCCCUCUUCUGACGCUGAGGCGCGAAAGCUAGGGGAGCAAACGGGAUUAGAUACCCCGGUAGUCCUAGCCUUAAACGUUGGGCACUAGGUAGAAAGCGAUCCGAUGUCGCCUUCUGCCGGAGCGAAAGUGUUAAGUGCCCCGCCUGGGGAGUAUGGUCGCAAGGCUGAGACUCAAAGGAAUUGACGGGGGCUCACACCAGCGGUGGAGCAUGUGGCUUAAUUCGAGGCUACGCGAAGAACCUUAUCCUAGACUUGACAUGCACGGAUUAAUCCGCUGAAAGGCGGAGGACAGUCGCAAGACCGGAACGUGCACAGGUGCUGCAUGGCUGUCGUCAGCUCGUGUUGUGAGAUGUCGGGUUAAGUCCCUUAACGAGCGAAACCCUUGUCCUUAGUUACCAGCGAGUAAAGUCGGGCACUCUAAGGAGACCGCCGGUGUUAAGCCGGAGGAAGGUGGGGAUGACGUCAAGUCCUCAUGGCCUUUAUGUCUAGGGCUGCACACGUGCUACAAUGGGGCGUACAAAGGGAAGCAAACUCGCGAGAGCAAGCAAAUCCCAAAAAGCGCCCCCCAGUUCAGAUUGCAGGCUGCAACUCGCCUGCAUGAAGCCGGAAUCGCUAGUAAUCGCAGGUCAGCCAUACUGCGGUGAAUGUGUUCCUGAGCCUUGUACACACCGCCCGUCAAGCCACGAAAGCGGGGGGCAUCCGAAGUCGCCGUGCUAACCGAAAGGGGGCAGGUGCCGAAGAUGAAACUCGUAAUUGGGACUAAGUCGUAACAAGGUAACC
This 1473-nucleotide ribosomal RNA is filed under the name uncultured Planctomycetota bacterium. RNAcentral describes it as "bacterial SSU rRNA". It matches the Rfam family "Bacterial small subunit ribosomal RNA". Lineage: Bacteria; Pseudomonadati; Planctomycetota. The record is from RNAcentral.